UACAGAGGUCUCAAGCGUUGUUCGGAUUCAUUGGGCGUAAAGGGUGCGUAGGUGGCGCUGUAAGUCGGGUGUGAAAUUUCGGAGCUUAACUCCGAAACUGCAUUCGAUACUGCGGUGCUUGAGGACUGGAGAGGAGACUGGAAUUCAUGGUGUAGCAGUGAAAUGCGUAGAGAUCAUGAGGAAGACCAGUGGCGAAGGCGGCUUUCUGGUCUGUAACUGACGCUGAGGCGCGAAAGCGUGGGGAGCAAACAGG
This 253-nucleotide ribosomal RNA is filed under the name uncultured bacterium. RNAcentral describes it as "partial 16S ribosomal RNA". It matches the Rfam family "Bacterial small subunit ribosomal RNA", at positions 524 to 776 of the family's 1533-position model. The record is from RNAcentral.